CCUACGGGCGGUAGCAGUGAGGAAUAUUGGUCAAUGGACGAGAGUCUGAACCAGCCAAGUAGCGUGAAGGAUGACUGCCCUAUGGGUUGUAAACUUCUUUUAUAUGGGAAUAAAAUGUUCCACGUGUGGGAUUUUGUAUGUACCAUAUGAAUAAGGAUCGGCUAACUCCGUGCCAGCAGCCGCGGUAAUACGGAGGAUCCGAGCGUUAUCCGGAUUUAUUGGGUUUAAAGGGAGCGUAGGUGGAUUGUUAAGUCAGUUGUGAAAGUUUGCGGCUCAACCGUAAAAUUGCAGUUGAAACUGGCAGUCUUGAGUACAGUAGAGGUGGGCGGAAUUCGUGGUGUAGCGGUGAAAUGCUUAGAUAUCACGAAGAACUCCGAUUGAGAAGGCAGUUCACUGGACUGCAACUGACACUGAGGCUCGAAAGUGUGGGUAUCAAACAGGAUUAGAUACCCUUGUAGUC
Molecule: ribosomal RNA, 460 nt
Filed under: uncultured bacterium
Lineage: Bacteria
Description: partial 16S ribosomal RNA
Rfam family: Bacterial small subunit ribosomal RNA
Source: RNAcentral